This 504-nucleotide ribosomal RNA is filed under the name uncultured bacterium. Its description in RNAcentral is "partial 16S ribosomal RNA". It matches the Rfam family "Bacterial small subunit ribosomal RNA", at positions 29 to 523 of the family's 1533-position model. The record is from RNAcentral.
AGUGAACGCUGGCGGUAGGCCUAACACAUGCAAGUCGAACGGCAGCACAGGAGAGCUUGCUCUCUGGGUGGCGAGUGGCGGACGGGUGAGGAAUACAUCGGAAUCUACUUUUUCGUGGGGGAUAACGUAGGAAACUUACGCUAAUACCGCAUACGACCUACGGGUGAAAGCAGGGGACCUUCGGGCCUUGCGCGAUUGAAUGAGCCGAUGUCGGAUUAGCUAGUUGGCGGGUAAAGGCCCACCAAGGCGACGAUCCGUAGCUGGUCUGAGAGGAUGAUCAGCCACACUGGAACUGAGACACGGUCCAGACUCCUACGGGAGGCAGCAGUGGGGAAUAUUGGACAAUGGGCGCAAGCCUGAUCCAGCCAUACCGCGUGGGUGAAGAAGGCCUUCGGGUUGUAAAGCCCUUUUGUUGGGAAAGAAAUCCAGCUGGCUAAUACCCGGUUGGGAUGACGGUACCCAAAGAAUAAGCACCGGCUAACUUCGUGCCAGCCGCCGCAGUAA